GUGAGGAAUUUUCCGCAAUGGGCGAAAGCCUGACGGAGCAAUGCCGCGUGAAGGAUGAAGGCCUAUGGGUUGUAAACUUCUUUUCUCAGAAAAGAAUUAUGACGGUAUCUGAGGAAUAAGCAUCGGCUAACUCUGUGCCAGCAGCCGCGGUAAGACAGAGGAUGCAAGCGUUAUUCGGAAUGAUUGGGGGUAAAGCGGCUGUAGGUAGUUUACAGAGUAUUCUGGCACAGAUUAGAGCUUAACCGUAGGUAGGCAGAAUAAACUUGUAAGGUAGAGUGUGGUAGAAGAAGAGGGAAUGCCGGGUGGAGAGGUGAAAUGCGUAGAUAUCGGGAGGAACACCAAAGGCGAAGGCACUCUGCUGGGCCAAUACUAACACUGAGAGACGAAAGCGAGGGGAGCAAAUGGGAUUAGAAACCCGUGUAGUCC
RNAcentral lists this ribosomal RNA (426 nucleotides) under uncultured bacterium. RNAcentral's name for it is "partial 16S ribosomal RNA". It matches the Rfam family "Bacterial small subunit ribosomal RNA", at positions 354 to 796 of the family's 1533-position model. The record is from RNAcentral.